Non-coding RNA from Camelina sativa (false flax), 454 nucleotides. NCBI's taxonomy places the organism in Eukaryota, Viridiplantae, Streptophyta, Magnoliopsida, Brassicales, Brassicaceae. The record is from RefSeq and is a predicted model, not a curated record.
GAUGUUUACCAUAUAUGGAUACACAUGGCACAUAAGAGUUUUAAUUUAUGCAUUUAAGGUUUGAUUCUCUUUUUUUUUUUUCUGCUAUAGAAUAAGCACGAUUACAAAGUUAAUAAAAAAUCGGUACUUUCUUUUUCGAGACGGGCGAGUAAUUGGGAGUAAAAACGAAGUGAUUUUUUCACUACACAAACGAGUUGAUGGCAGGUUAAACUCGUAUGUUGCAGCAGAUCACCCACCUCGGUUGAACCACGUUUUUAUGGAAGAAAGACCUUCGCUAUCUGUUUGAUCUUGAUAUUUUUUUUGGUUAAAGGUUCAGCUCUAUGACUUUUUGUAAAGGCCUUUAUUUAUAGGCAAAUUGGUUGUGGCUGUAGGAAGGUAGCGCGGUGCUUCAGGUGCAUAGGUUUAGUUCUCUAUGGCUGAAUGUAAUUAUACCAAACCAAACUCUUUGCUCUAA